This 208-nucleotide unclassified non-coding RNA is filed under the name Hevea brasiliensis (rubber tree). Lineage: Eukaryota; Viridiplantae; Streptophyta; Magnoliopsida; Malpighiales; Euphorbiaceae. The record is from RNAcentral.
AGCACUGUCACAAAGAUCAGCUAUCUCAUUGCAGUCCAAGAAAAACUGUCGCCGAACAGGCGGUUUCCAGCCACGAGGCUUCAGAAGAUGGGAUAUCACCUUUUUAGGAACACUGUUGAUGGACAUUUGACGAUCCAAUAGUUUCCUUGCUGCUGUUGCAUUUUCUGGUGUUCCAUAACUAACUCGCCUGCCUUCAUUUUCAAACUGA